GAUGAACGCUGGCGGCGUGCCUAAUACAUGCAAGUCGAGCGAACAGACGAGGAGCUUGCUCCUCUGACGUUAGCGGCGGACGGGUGAGUAACACGUGGAUAACCUACCUAUAAGACUGGGAUAACUUCGGGAAACCGGAGCUAAUACCGGAUAAUAUAUUGAACCGCAUGGUUCACUAGUGAAAGACGGUUUUGCUGUCACUUAUAGAUGGAUCCGCGCCGCAUUAGCUAGUUGGUAAGGUAACGGCUUACCAAGGCAACGAUGCGUAGCCGACCUGAGAGGGUGAUCGGCCACACUGGAACUGAGACACGGUCCAGACUCCUACGGGAGGCAGCAGUAGGGAAUCUUCCGCAAUGGGCGAAAGCGUGACGGAGCAACGCCGCGUGAGUGAUGAAGGUGUUCGGAUCGUAAAGCUCUGUUAUUAGGGAAGAACAAAUGUGUAAGUAACUAUGCACGUCUUGACGGUACCUAAUCAGAAAGCCACGGCUAACUACGUG
This 497-nucleotide ribosomal RNA is filed under the name uncultured bacterium. RNAcentral describes it as "partial 16S ribosomal RNA". It matches the Rfam family "Bacterial small subunit ribosomal RNA", at positions 28 to 507 of the family's 1533-position model. The record is from RNAcentral.